AUUCGCCAAAAUCCAGAAUUUUUGCAUUCUUCUUCUUAUUAUUAUUCUUAUUAUUAUUCUUAUGCUUAUUAUUAAUCUUAUUAUUAUUCUUAUUAUUCUUAUUAUUCUUAUUAUUGUCACGAUUCCCCCUUGAAGCAGCGUGCUCUAAGCGCGAAUGCGCGAGCACCUGCUUUUCCGUUGUUGACUGUAAUGACAUCUGGACACGUGGGUUUUGUUUGUUUCUGUCAUGUCUCCUCCCUGUUCUGUCAUUGGCUGGGAUUUCACGUGGGUCUGAAUUGCUCUCAGCUGCUAGCGGUUUAGACGCUGAUCAUGUCCGCAUAUAUACCGCGCGCCUCCCAGCACACAACGCGGAAGAGUAAUACUUUAGAGUUAGUUUAGGUCGUCUCGUAGUCAUAGUUACGGUCCAUGGUUCGAGUUAGUUCGCGCUGGAUUAUCCGCUUCCAGCCCCUCGUCAUAGUUCGUUUCUUGUUUUGUUUAUCGACCUAGAUUCCUGCCUUGCCCCGUGUAUGCCUGUUUGCCAAUCGCCUGACCUCUUGCAUGUUUGUGGAUUAUGUUUUGGAUCACGUUUUGGAUUUGUCUGCCUCUCUCUUUCUAAUAAACAACUGUUCAUCCAGCACUUGCAUCCGUCCUAUCUCUGCUCUGUCACGAUUCGUGACAGAAUCUUCCGCCAAAAAAUGGAUGCAGCAGGAGAACGGAAGUCGACGCCAACCGUCCCCGCUAUGGACUCCGUCCACUUCCCACAGUGGACAUUUAUGGAGCUUCCUGAUCCAUUUGAUGGAUUUUUUGGUGCCCCUGAGUAUUUUCUGGUAGACUGUCAAUACUAUUUCACCAGCCUGUUAGACCCUAAGCCAGAGGAGAAGCAAUGUCUCCGAUUCAUGUGGUCCCGGUUCUUUGGACCGGCCCGUCAAUGGGUGCAGCUCAAACUGGAUAAGCACUGUAGGAACCUCGACGGUGUAGAACAGUUUGUGGGGGAAUUCAUGGUGCGAUUCGGGAGUCCAGAGGCGAAGGAUGAGCUAGAACAACUUCUCAGGGGGGUAAGUCUGGCAGGUGAACCUGCCCUGCCAUUUACCUACUACUACAGGCAACUUCAUGCAGAGCUCAACUCUGAAAUCCAAGUCAAGCCUCCAGUCCCUGAGGUCCAGGUCCAGCCUCCAGUCCCUGAGGUCCAGGUCCAGCCUCCAGUCCCUGAGGUCCAGGUCCAGCCUCCAGUCCCUGAGGUCCAGCCUCCAGUCCCUGAGGUCCAGCCUCCAGUCCCUGAGGUCCAGCCUCCAGUCCCUGAGGUCCAGCCUCCAGUCCCUGAGGUCCAGCCUCACGUCCCUGAGGGCCAAGCCAAGCCUCACGUCCCUGAGGGCCAAGCCAAGCCUCACGUCCCUGAGCUCACAUUCAAGCCUGCUGAUCCAGGUGACCCAGCUCUGCUAAUAUCAAAGCCUAAUGACUAAGCUCUGCUCACUCCCCAGUCUGCUGACAUGCCAAGCUCUGCCCACGCACUGCCAAGCUCUGCCCACGCCCCAGUCUGCUGACACGCACUGCCAAGCUCUGCCCACGCCCAAGGUUCACCUGGUGACCUCAGAGCCUCAGCCUCCCUGUUCAGCUGAGGUUGUCGCUCAGCCUUCCUGCUCCAUGGCAAACAUCGUUCCCACCUUCUGCUUUGAGGAGGCCCACGCUCCUCUCCCUGGCCACACGGAGGCCCACGCUCCUCUCCCUUGCCGCACGGACACCCACUCUCCUCUCCCGGGCCUUACAGGGGACGUCGCUCUGCCUUCAUGCUCCGCCGAGGACGUCGCUCUGCCUUCAUGCUCCGACGAGGACGUCGCCCUGCUUCCCUGCUCUGCCGAGUACAGUACUCUGUUUCCCUGCUCCGCCGAGGACGUCGCUCUGCCCUCAUGCUCCGCAGAGGUCGUCGCUCCGCCUCCCUGCCCAGCCGAGGACGUCGCUCCGCCUCCCUGCCCAGCCGAGGACGUCGCUCCGCCUCCCUGCCCAGCCGAGGACGUCGCUCCGCCUCCCUGCCCAGCCGAGGACGUCGCUCCGCCUCCCUACGCCGCCGAGGACACCGUGCAGUUUCCUGGCUCUGCUUGGGACAUUCAGCCCAGGGGGCCGGGGCCGCCAAUGAAAUGGGAUGACUCAUGGCACUCCGGGAGGAUUGCCUUGCGGGGGGGGGGUUCUGUCACGAUCCCCCCAUGAAGCAGCGUGCUCUAAGCGCGAAUGCGUGAGCACCUGCUUUUCCGUUGUUGACUGUAAUGACAUCUGGACACGUGGGUUUUGUUUGUUUGUCAUGUCUCCUCCCUGUUCUGUCAUUGGCUGAGAUUUCACGUGGGUCUGAAUUGUUUAGAAGCUGAUCAUGUCUGCAUAUAUACCGCGCGCUUCCCAGCACACAAGGCGAAAGAUUAAUACUUUAGAGUUAGUUUAGGUCGUCUCGUAGUCAUGGUCACGGUCCAUGUUUAGAGUUAGUUCGCGCUGGAUUAUCUGCUUCCAGCCCCUCGUCAUAGUUCGUUUCUUGUUUUGUUUAUUGACCUAGAUUCCUGCCUUGCCCCGUGUAUGCCUGUUUGCCAAUCGCCUGACCUCUUGCAUGUUUGUGGAUUACGUUUUGGAUCACGUUUUGGAUUUGUCUGCCUCUCUCUCGUUCUAAUAAACAACUGUUCAUCCAGCACUUGCAUCCGUCCUAUCUCUGC
Long non-coding RNA from Ictalurus punctatus (channel catfish), 2669 nucleotides. The record is from Ensembl. Lineage: Eukaryota; Metazoa; Chordata; Actinopteri; Siluriformes; Ictaluridae.